RNAcentral lists this ribosomal RNA (376 nucleotides) under uncultured bacterium. RNAcentral describes it as "bacterial SSU rRNA". It matches the Rfam family "Bacterial small subunit ribosomal RNA", at positions 523 to 898 of the family's 1533-position model. The record is from RNAcentral.
AUACGUAGGGUGCAAGCGUUGUCCGGAAUUACUGGGUGUAAAGGGAGUGUAGGCGGGAUAGCAAGUCAGAUGUGGAAACUAUGGGCUCAACCCAUAGACUGCAUUUGAAACUGCUGUUCUUGAGUGAAGUAGAGGUUGGCGGAAUUCCUAGUGUAGCGGUGGAAUGCGUAGAUAUUAGGAGGAACAUCAGUGGCGAAGGCGGCCAACUGGGCUUUUACUGACGCUGAGGCUCGAAAGCGUGGGGAGCAAACAGGAUUAGAUACCCUGGUAGUCCACGCUGUAAACGAUGAUUACUAGGUGUGGGGGGACUGACCCCUUCCGUGCCGCAGUUAACACAAUAAGUAAUCCACCUGGGGAGUACGACCGCAAGGUUGAA